Long non-coding RNA from Pecten maximus, 350 nucleotides. RefSeq lists it as uncharacterized. The transcript is spliced from 3 exons. The record is from RefSeq and is a predicted model, not a curated record. Lineage: Eukaryota; Metazoa; Mollusca; Bivalvia; Pectinida; Pectinidae.
GCUCGUUUUGCUUUCCCGGUCUAGCCGAUUUAGCCGUUUCUAAUCGGCAACUCGCUCGAUUGGCCAUCCCGCCGUCCCGUCGGCUUAACCGGGACCUGCCGAUCGCCCCGAAAAAAUUUCAGCGGGACAAUCGGGACAAGAUGGCGGCUUGAAAGAUGGACGUAACACCAAAGUGGACCUGCUUUUUGUGUGCCCAGCCAGCUCCAUUCCACUCUCUUGCUUCACUAGAAGCGCAGGAAAAAUCUGGAAACACAGAGAUAUAUAUAGACGGUGAUUACAAGAUUUAUUUGCGCUGCCCGUCCUGCAGGAGGUGUUUUCAUCCAAGCUGGAAAGGCAAGGGGAAAAUGAAA